GACGACGCUGGCGGCGUGCUUAACACAUGCAAGUCGAACGAGGUCCACCGCGUAGCAAUACAAGGGAAGACCUAGUGGCGAACGGGUGCGUAACACGUGAGGAACUUGUCCCGGUCUCUGGGAUAACAGUUGGAAACGACUGCUAAUACCGGAUGACGUCGGAAUCUCGCAUGGGAUACUGACGAAAGGGUUACUGGAUCGGGAGAGCCUCGCGGCCUAUCAGCUUGUUGGUGAGGUAACGGCUCACCAAGGCAUCGACGGGUAGCUGGUCUGAGAGGAUGAUCAGCCACACUGGGACUGAGACACGGCCCAGACUCCUACGGGAGGCAGCAGUGGGGAAUCUUGCGCAAUGGGCGAAAGCCUGACGCAGCAACGCCGCGUGCGGGAAGAAGGCCCUCGGGUUGUAAACCGCUUUCAGCAGGAACGAAAAUGACGGUACUUGCAGAAGAAGGUGCGGCCAACUACGUG
This 468-nucleotide ribosomal RNA is filed under the name uncultured bacterium. RNAcentral describes it as "bacterial SSU rRNA". It matches the Rfam family "Bacterial small subunit ribosomal RNA", at positions 33 to 507 of the family's 1533-position model. The record is from RNAcentral.